CCCACUGUACAUCCCCUUUCUACUGGCUAGCAGGGACUACAUUUCCCAUCAGUAGGGUUGCCAGACGAACAGUUUUCGACCGGAAAGUCCAGUCAAAAAGGGGACCUGGCAUCUCCAGUCAGCAUUGCUGACUGGACACUAAAAGUCCAGUUAUGAAGUAACCGCAAUCAGCCUCCCCUCCAGGAGGGCAGGAAGAGCAGCUGCUGCCUGGAGGAGCUGCAACUCAGCUGGAGAGAGAGAGAGAGAACUGAUUCCCAAGCACCCGGUUCUGGUGGAGAGAGCAAGGAGCUGACAUCUAAACUCCUCAUCAGCUGGACAGAAAGAGCCCUGGAAGUCUGGCUGGUAAUUACUCAAAACCAUCUCAGACUUAUGAUAACUGGCCGAUCACAGUUUUUAGCACCAUGCUUCAGUCCAGGGCUGUACUGGGGCAUGGCCCAACAUAUUUGGGAAGCAGAGCACUGGAAGGCAAACUCCUAAGUUGACCUGCGUUCAAAAGUCCUACAGAAGGGGGAUUUUUGUUGACUGCCGUCUUGGCCAAUACUGGGAAUUGAACCGGAGACCUGCAGAGCUAAAAGCACAACUUGCUACAGCUUAAGCGGAAGGUAAAGCUUUAGGUUGUAAGAGCUCCAGUUCCUCUGCAAGUCAGGCACAGAACGGGAGCACAACACUCACUGACUGACCAGAGACAUACGUUAAAGUAUUGUUUUCUUCUCCACUCCCAGUGAAGUCAAUGGGAAUUUUACCAAUAACUUCCAGUUGGAACUGAGUUAGGCUAAUGCUGAGUGCUGUUUGAAAGUCCCACAUGAAAACUGCUACUGAAAAGCUAAGUUGCGGUUCAAGGAGAGCAUGUAUACAGUUGUGACAGCAAAAUUUUAUAUCUCAUGCACGCCUGUACAACCCCCAUGAAGUGCUUGAGGUGCUUUGUUGUAAUAAAAAACCAUUAUGUUGUAUUGUGUAUAUUUUAUUGUAUUGAAGUGCAAGGCCAGUAAAAUAUGACACACCAGUAAAAGCCACCCAUUGAAACUGGCAUCCAAAACAAAUAGAGUGAGGGCAAUGCCUCACAACCUUUGCCAGGAAGAAGGAGCGGCAGCUUCAGUCAGAAUGCGCCAGAAGAGACAAGAAGAUAAUACGCCACUCUCCAUGAUGCCCUAUGCACUGACAAUUGGAUGACUAAGGCUAGUGGUUGGAGUUUUCUUGGCCUUUGAAAGGGCUGUAGAGAAGGUGCGGUUUAUGUAUUAUGUGCUGGGUAAUGGCUCUUUAUUAAAGCAACUAUUUGCAGAGCUGCUGUAACUGGAGCUUAGUGUUCUAGUCAUGUGUACACAGACUAACUUCCAGGUGCAAUUCUGUCCUUCAAGAUGUGCUACUUCAUCCCAAAGGCCUGCCUUUUUCACAAGAGUUUGUUGUGGCGAGAGGAUCCCAGUACAUAGCUCAUCAUGGGGGCAUAGCCUUUACCUCCAUCUCAUUACACUCUCUUAGACCUCAGAUUCCUUCAAAUAUGCUGGCCUGCGAAUGAGUCUCCCAUUCCUUAUUUGUGUUACCACUGUUGGUAGAGGAAUUGCUGCCACCCUGUGGCUGCCUUCUUUCAACUGAGCAAUUUCCUGUGGUCUUUUGUGUUGUCCGUAAACCCCAUGCUGCUGGCUCUGCUACACUAGGCCAGCUGAUGGCUGAGGCUCAUUCUGAGUCAUCCUUGUCCUGACCUGUGUCCCAGG
Molecule: long non-coding RNA, 1709 nt
Organism: Malaclemys terrapin pileata
Lineage: Eukaryota; Metazoa; Chordata; Testudines; Emydidae
Exons: 4
Source: RefSeq, a predicted model, not a curated record